GGGGGUAUAGCUCAGUGGGAGAAUAUUUGACUGCAGAUCAAGAGGUCCCCGGUUCAAAUCCGUGUGCCCCCU
RNAcentral lists this transfer RNA (72 nucleotides) under Danio rerio (zebrafish). It matches the Rfam family "tRNA". From Rfam's summary of the family: Transfer RNA (tRNA) molecules are approximately 80 nucleotides in length. Their secondary structure includes four short double-helical elements and three loops (D, anti-codon, and T loops). Further hydrogen bonds mediate the characteristic L-shaped molecular structure. tRNAs have two regions of fundamental functional importance: the anti-codon, which is responsible for specific mRNA codon recognition, and the 3' end, to which the tRNAs corresponding amino acid is attached (by aminoacyl-tRNA synthetases). tRNAs cope with the degeneracy of the genetic code in two manners: having more than one tRNA (with a specific anti-codon) for a particular amino acid; and 'wobble' base-pairing, i.e. permitting non-standard base-pairing at the 3rd anti-codon position. The record is from Rfam by way of RNAcentral. Lineage: Eukaryota; Metazoa; Chordata; Actinopteri; Cypriniformes; Danionidae.